RNAcentral lists this ribosomal RNA (460 nucleotides) under uncultured Methylomirabilota bacterium. RNAcentral describes it as "bacterial SSU rRNA". It matches the Rfam family "Bacterial small subunit ribosomal RNA", at positions 977 to 1434 of the family's 1533-position model. Lineage: Bacteria; Methylomirabilota (SeqCode). The record is from RNAcentral.
GGGCUUGACAUCCCACGAACCUCAUCGAAAGAUGAGAGUGCCCGCAAGGGAGCGCGGAGACAGGUGGUGCAUGGCUGUCGUCAGCUCGUGUCGUGAGAUGUUGGGUUAAGUCCCGCAACGAGCGCAACCCUCACCCCUUGUUGCCACCGGGUUAUGCUGAGCACUCUAGGGGAACUGCCAGCGUCAAGCUGGAGGAAGGCGGGGAUGACGUCAAGUCAUCAUGCCCCUUACGCCCUGGGCGACACACGUGCUACAAUGGCCGGCACAAAGGGAUGCAAGACCGCGAGGUGGAGCUAACCCCAAAAAACCGGUCUAAGUUCAGAUUGCAGUCCGCAACUCGACUGCAUGAAGGAGGAAUCGCUAGUAAUCGCGCAUCAGCACGGCGCGGUGAAUACGUUCCCGGGCCUUGUACACACCGCCCGUCACACCACGAAAGCCGGCUGUACUCGAAGUCGCUGAG